UACGGAAGGCAGCAGUGGGGAAUAUUGCACAAUGGGCGCAAGCCUGAUGCAGCCAUGCCGCGUGUAUGAAGAAGGCCUUCGGGUUGUAAAGUACUUUCAGUCGUGAGGAAGGUGUUAAGGUUAAUAACCUUAGCAAUUGACGUUAGCGACAGAAGAAGCACCGGCUAACUCCGUGCCAGCAGCCGCGGUAAUACGGAGGGUGCGAGCGUUAAUCGGAAUUACUGGGCGUAAAGGGCACGCAGGCGGUUAAUUAAGUUGGAUGUGAAAUCCCCGGGCUUAACCUGGGAAUGGCAUUCAAGACUGGUUAGCUAGAGUCUUGUAGAGGGGGUAGAAUUCCAUGUGUAGCGGUGAAAUGCGUAGAGAUGUGGAGGAAUACCGGUGGCGAAGGCGGCUCCCGUGGGACAAGACUGACGCUCAUGUGCGAAAGCGUGGGGAGCAAACAGGGAUUAGAUACC
Molecule: ribosomal RNA, 455 nt
Filed under: uncultured bacterium
Lineage: Bacteria
Description: bacterial SSU rRNA
Rfam family: Bacterial small subunit ribosomal RNA
Source: RNAcentral